CCUACGGGAGGCAGCAGUGGGGAAUAUUGCACAAUGGGGGGAACCCUGAUGCAGCAAUGCCGCGUGGGUGAAGAAGCACUCCGGUGCGUAAAGCCCUGUCAGCAGGGCAGAAAAUGACAGUACAUGGACAAGAAGCCCCGGCUAACUACGUGCCAGCAGACGCGGUAAUACGUAGGGGGAAAGCGGUAUCCGGAUUUACUGGGGGUAAAGGGAGGGCAGGCGGAGUGGCAAGGCAGAUGAGAAAACCCGGGGCCCAACCCCGGGAGUGCAUUUGAAACUGCCAUGCUAGAGUGACGGAGAGGUAAGCGGAAUUCCGGGUGUAGCGGUGAAAUGCGUAGAGAUUAGGAGGAACACCAGUGGCGGAGGCGGCUUACUAGACGGUAACUGACGCUGAGGCUCGAAAGCGUGGGGAGCAAACAGGAUUAGAUACCCGUGUAGUC
Molecule: ribosomal RNA, 440 nt
Filed under: uncultured bacterium
Lineage: Bacteria
Description: partial 16S ribosomal RNA
Rfam family: Bacterial small subunit ribosomal RNA
Source: RNAcentral